UUAAAAAACUGAGAAUCCUAGACAUAGCUGGAAAUAUUAUUCAGAUAUUUCCAUCAGGAAAAUGGACAGGUAUGGUGGCUCACGCCUGCAAUCCUAGCAUUUUGGGAGGCUGUGGCGGGAGGAUUGCUUUUGAUUCCGUGAGUUCAAGAUCAGGCUGGACAACAUGGUGAAACCCCUAUCUCUAUAAAACAAACAAACCACCAAAAAAAUUAGCUGGGUGUAGUGGCACACCCUGUGGUCCCAGUUACUUGAGGUGAAGUAUCACUCAAGCCUGGGAGGUAGAGGUUGCAGUAAGCUGAGAUCAUACUCCAGCCUGGGCAACACAGUGAGACCGUCUUAAAAAAAAAAAAAAAAAAAGAAAUAUCUUGGUUCUUUUAUGAACAUGUAGUCAGAUCUGCUACAGAGAGACUUUAGUUUCUUUCCUUACCUCUUUUUUCCUUUCCUUUAUUUUAACUUAAAAAAAUUAAAUUAAAACUUAAAAAUUUUGUAAGUUGUA
This 496-nucleotide small RNA is filed under the name Pongo abelii (Sumatran orangutan). RNAcentral describes it as "processed transcript". Lineage: Eukaryota; Metazoa; Chordata; Mammalia; Primates; Hominidae. The record is from RNAcentral.